UACGAAGGGGGCUAGCGUUGUUCGGAAUUACUGGGCGUAAAGCGUAUGCAGGCGGAUCGUUAAGUCGGGGGUGAAAUCCCGAGGCUCAACCUCGGAACUGCCUUCGAUACUGGCGACCUUCGAGUCCGGGAGAGGUGAGUGGAACUCCGAGUGUAGAGGUGAAAUUCGUAGAUAUUCGGAAGAACACCAGUGGCGAAGGCGGCUCACUGGCCCGGUACUGACGCUGAGAUACGAGAGCGUGGGGAGCAAACAGG
Molecule: ribosomal RNA, 254 nt
Filed under: uncultured bacterium
Lineage: Bacteria
Description: partial 16S ribosomal RNA
Rfam family: Bacterial small subunit ribosomal RNA
Source: RNAcentral